UAUAAAAGCUCGCGUAAAAUAUUGCAAGGCAAAAAUGGGAUGCCUCCAGGAAUCAUGUCACGUGGAGAUCUACAGCGCGUCAAGCAUAAGGCGCAUACGGUCUAUGGGCGGGAACGCAACGCAGGUUUCCAAGUUUUUAAAUUAAAUGUAUUGGGAGGAGGCAUCUCGUAGCAUCGAUAUACCUGCUUGGUUUACCCAAAUACCUAAGCUGGUUCAAAAUGUGGCGCGCGUUAAGCAGCUGUGAAAAUGGCUACUGAGCGAUUUCACAAUUUCUUUUUGGGGAAAGAGCAAAUAUAAAAUAUUUCACAACUCAAAUAUAAGGUUUCCUAACGUAAGUUCAUAUCAAGUUUUGGUUGUUCCAGGCUUUCCACUGCGGAACUGAAGACUAAAACGAUAUUCGAGCGGACAAAAGCUUUCCUCAAGUAGCGGUACUUCGCGAGUGUCUGCUCUGCAACGUCUGCGUUCCGGCGCUGAGUGGGAACAAAGUGGCAAUGCGUGAGGCCAACAAGUGGCGCGCCAACAUCAGCCGGACAUUCGAGGACAAGGCCGAGACUGAUUUUCAGGUGUGCGGCCAAUUCGUCCACACCAAAGAACCAGCCCAGGCUAGCUGCCCUGGGAACCACGAGGAAGCCGUCUGCCUCCACAUU
This is a long non-coding RNA of Pollicipes pollicipes, 647 nucleotides long. RefSeq lists it as uncharacterized. Lineage: Eukaryota; Metazoa; Arthropoda; Thecostraca; Pollicipedomorpha; Pollicipedidae. The transcript is spliced from 3 exons. The record is from RefSeq and is a predicted model, not a curated record.